This is a long non-coding RNA of Erinaceus europaeus (western European hedgehog), 158 nucleotides long. RefSeq lists it as uncharacterized. The record is from RefSeq and is a predicted model, not a curated record. The transcript is spliced from 2 exons. Lineage: Eukaryota; Metazoa; Chordata; Mammalia; Eulipotyphla; Erinaceidae.
UGUUGCUCUCAUCUUCUGCUGAUUUGAACUUUGGAGAGGAGACGUCAGUGCAGUGUUAUCAAGUGAAAAAGCUGUGCUGGUGGGUUCAAAGCAUAUUCUCAAGGUGCUGCUGUGAGGACAGUUCAUUUUCUGGCCUGAAAAGGAAGUCAGAGGAGAAG